AACGAACGCUGGCUGCAUGCCUAACACAUGCAAGUCGAACGGCUGCAGCAAUGCAUCAGUGGCAGACGGGUGAGUAACACGUGGGAAUCUACCCAGUAGCCUGGAAUAACCGCGGGACACUGCGGCUAAUAACGGAUACGCCCCUCGGGGGAAAGGAGCAAUCCACUAUUGGAGGAACCCGCGUCCGUUUAGCUAGUUGGUGAGGUAAUGGCUCACCAAGGCGAUGAUCGGUAGCUGGUUUGCGAGGACGACCAACCACACUGGGACUGAGACACGGCCCAGACUCUUUCGGGAGGCAGCAGUGGGGAAUAUGGGACAAUGGGGGAAACCCUGAUCCAGCAAUGCCGCGUGGGUGAUGAAGGCCUUCGGGUUGUAAAGCCCUUCUGGCGGGGACGAUGAUGACGGUACCCGCAGAAGAAGCCCCGGCUAACUUCGUGCCAGCCGCCGCAGUAA
RNAcentral lists this ribosomal RNA (453 nucleotides) under uncultured bacterium. Its description in RNAcentral is "partial 16S ribosomal RNA". It matches the Rfam family "Bacterial small subunit ribosomal RNA", at positions 29 to 523 of the family's 1533-position model. The record is from RNAcentral.